This 249-nucleotide ribosomal RNA is filed under the name uncultured bacterium. RNAcentral's name for it is "partial 16S ribosomal RNA". It matches the Rfam family "Bacterial small subunit ribosomal RNA", at positions 793 to 1055 of the family's 1533-position model. The record is from RNAcentral.
GUCCACGCUGUAACGAUGAUCACUCGUGAUCGGCGACAUACGGUCGGUCACCUAGCGAAGCGUUAAGUGAUCCACCUGGGAGUACGACCGCAAGGUUGAACUCAAGGAAUUGACGGGCCCGGCACAAGCGGUGGAGCAUGUGGUUUAAUUCGAUGAUACGCGAGGAACCUUACCAGGGCUCGAACGCACGACGACAGGGUGGAACAUCCUCUUCUUCGGACGGCGUGCGAGGUGCUGCAUGGCUGUCGU